GGAUGUGAGGGUGAUCUGGCUGUGACAUCUGCCCACCCGACUGAUCGCCAGGAUUGAAAUGGCUUGACAGCUGGCUAGGCACGGGCCACUUCCUCGCUCACUCCUCUAUGUGUGUCCCUCCUCAAGCUCUCUCGAAGAGGACGAUCAUCCAGAUAGAGGAGGACCCUUUGCUCCAUCAAGGGUAUAUGAGUAGCUGUGAUUCCCUGCUAGAAUCUCCAAACAAGCUCUGAGGAAUGCAGCAUAUAAGAUUCUUCCUAGUUUUAAUUAAAGAUGGUAGGAAACCAGAGGGGGAAAGAAAACCUUUUGCAGAAAAAAAAUUGAGGGAGCUAAAAGGGAGCUUCCCUGAGAU
Unclassified non-coding RNA from Fukomys damarensis (Damara mole-rat), 349 nucleotides. Its record names the gene 7SK. It matches the Rfam family "7SK RNA". Rfam says of the family: 7SK was discovered as an abundant small nuclear RNA in the mid-70s but a possible function has only recently been suggested. Two independent studies have found that 7SK RNA binds the CDK9/cyclin T complex (known as elongation factor P-TEFb). Lineage: Eukaryota; Metazoa; Chordata; Mammalia; Rodentia; Bathyergidae. The record is from Ensembl.